This 246-nucleotide ribosomal RNA is filed under the name uncultured Actinomycetales bacterium. Its description in RNAcentral is "partial 16S ribosomal RNA". It matches the Rfam family "Bacterial small subunit ribosomal RNA", at positions 86 to 334 of the family's 1533-position model. The record is from RNAcentral. Lineage: Bacteria; Bacillati; Actinomycetota; Actinomycetes; Actinomycetales.
AGUACUCGAGUGGCGAACGGGUGAGUAACACGUGGGUAAUCUGCCCUGCACUCUGGGGUAAGCCUGGGAAACUGGGUCUAAUACUGGAUAUGACCUUUCUCCUUAUGGGGUUUGGUGGAAAGUUUUUCGGUGUAGGAUGAGCCCGCGGCCUAUCAGCUUGUUGGUGGGGUGAUGGCCUACCAAGGCGACGACGGGUAGCCGGCCUGAGAGGGUGAUCGGCCACAUUGGGACUGAGAUACGGCCCAG